Long non-coding RNA from Hippocampus zosterae (dwarf seahorse), 965 nucleotides. RefSeq lists it as uncharacterized. NCBI's taxonomy places the organism in Eukaryota, Metazoa, Chordata, Actinopteri, Syngnathiformes, Syngnathidae. The record is from RefSeq and is a predicted model, not a curated record. The transcript is spliced from 2 exons.
UGUGUACAAAGUAGAACUAGUUCACCCAAAAAUUCACAGGAGCAUGUGUUCUGUGGUUUUCACAGGAGGCCUGACACUUGGAAAGCCUGAAGUUUAAACAAAUAUCUCCUCGGAGGAAACAUCGAUCAUUAGCGGCGGUGUGUCCUUGAGGGAUUUGGUGGGCGACAAAGUAAGCCAUGGAAAUGAGUGAGAGGGAGCGAUAAGGAAAGAGUCCAGUCAAGGUCUUGGAUUCGCUCGCAUGCUGCCAAGACCGCGAAGGAAAGAAUGCAUCAUGUUUUUUUUUCUUCUUUUUUUACAAUGAAAUGGAAUAAGAAAGGCUCCUUUCAACAACAUUGAUGCGCUCGGAAACAAAGUCUGUCGACAACAUAGCGUUUCUACUGGCCUUGUCGAAUUUAAUGUACGGCAAAGUCUGGAAGGGUGGAAGUUGGACGAUAAGCCUGUCAACCUUGGCGAACUGGAGUGGAAAUGGGUUUAUGUAGGAAAAUCAGCAUCUGAUCAGAAUGUAAAGGUGGAAGGGGGUGGGGGGGAAUGUUAAUCUAGCCACAUCGCAAAUUUAUCCUUUAGCAUAGUUUCGGAUGCUUUUUUAAACCAUUGAAUUGAACAGUUUAUGUCACUUCAAUGGUUAGAAAAAAAAAAAAGAGAGAAAUCACCGUGCAUAGAAAGCAGUUCACGGUCACGGAACAAGGCGAGAGUGCGCCGUGAGCGUAGCCUCCAUUACGGUAUGUCCUAUGACAGCCAAAACCCCGCAGAGAGCUUCAAAGCCACUUUGUUGUGGCCGUUAAUGGUGCUGAUGAUAGCACACUGGCUUCUCAAGCCUGGGUGCUGCAGCAGAGCCAAAAGGAAUGGGGGGGGUGGGGGGCGGGGGGCGUAAAAGUAACGCUAUAGUAAGGCAAAGCCAGUGUCUAAAGUGCAUAUCGUAACCUUUUUUUGCUUGCACCACAAAACAAAUUCUCCUGGGUCAGACA